GACGAACGCUGGCGGCGCGCUUAACACAUGCAAGUCGAGCGAUGAAAUUUUGACAGAUCCCUUCGGGGUGAAGACAAAAUGGAUUAGCGGCGGACGGGUGAGUAACACGUGAGUAACCUGCCUUAGACAUUGGGAUAGCCUCGGGAAACCGGGAUUAAUACCAAAUAAAAUCAUAGGUGCACAUGCACUAAUGAUCAAAACUCCGGUGGUCUAAGAUGGACUCGCGUCCCAUUAGCUAGUUGGUAGGGUA
This 250-nucleotide ribosomal RNA is filed under the name uncultured bacterium. RNAcentral describes it as "partial 16S ribosomal RNA". It matches the Rfam family "Bacterial small subunit ribosomal RNA", at positions 28 to 259 of the family's 1533-position model. The record is from RNAcentral.